UGUUGUACUUUUUUUUUUGU
RNAcentral lists this microRNA (20 nucleotides) under Sus scrofa (pig). RNAcentral's name for it is "ssc-miR-3613". Lineage: Eukaryota; Metazoa; Chordata; Mammalia; Artiodactyla; Suidae. The record is from miRBase by way of RNAcentral.